RNAcentral lists this non-coding RNA (83 nucleotides) under unclassified sequences. RNAcentral's name for it is "NiCo sequence". It matches the Rfam family "NiCo (Nickel/Cobalt) riboswitch aptamer". The record is from RNAcentral.
ACAGCACAAACUGAACAGGCCGGAGCCCCUUAUGCUCGGAGCCGGGUUACGAAAGUAACAGUGGUAUGACCCACGGGACAGUG